GCCGGAGUGGCGGAAUAGGCAGACGCCCAGGACUUAAAAUCCUGUGAAACGUAAGUUUCGUACCGGUUCGAGCCCGGUGUCCGGCACCA
Molecule: transfer RNA, 89 nt
Filed under: Clostridiales bacterium
Lineage: Bacteria; Bacillati; Bacillota; Clostridia; Eubacteriales
Description: tRNA-Leu
Rfam family: tRNA
About the family: Transfer RNA (tRNA) molecules are approximately 80 nucleotides in length.
Source: RNAcentral